RNAcentral lists this long non-coding RNA (399 nucleotides) under Elaeis guineensis (African oil palm). Its description in RNAcentral is "long non-coding RNA (EGUI_LNC032230)". Lineage: Eukaryota; Viridiplantae; Streptophyta; Magnoliopsida; Arecales; Arecaceae. The record is from RNAcentral.
AGCCUCAUCUCAAUGCUCAACUAGUUGGCCUGAUCCUCAUCAAGCUCACCAACAUUUUCUCAACCUAGAAUGACCCUCAGUCCAAUGCUCCUCUUGUCGAGACGAUCUAUAUAGUGCUUCCUUGGGUAGGCAUUUUGAGAGUGCAUCAUAGACUUGUUGCAUUGAGUAUAAUGUGCACUCCUCAAACUUUUGACUCUACACUCCCUACCCCAGACUUGAUGUUUCCAUAGAGCUCCCUCGUGAGGUUAAGAUAGGUAGGUAGGUCCAGAGAACAUAUGAAUUCCCACCCAAGACUUUAAAUCUUUCUUCCAAUCCUAAAUGAAAGUGGUACCUUGAUGGGUUCACAGUGAGGAGGAGAAGGAGGUGCUUGUGGUGGAGUUGUCUAUUCCUAGCUGCUUG